RNAcentral lists this ribosomal RNA (109 nucleotides) under Octodon degus (degu). Lineage: Eukaryota; Metazoa; Chordata; Mammalia; Rodentia; Octodontidae. The record is from RNAcentral.
GUCUACGGCCAUACCACCCUGAAUGUGCCUGAUCUCGUCUGAUCUCAGAAGCUAAGGGUCGGGCCUGGUUAGUACUUGGAUAGAGUCUGGAGGCAGACAGUGGUGGACU